CACGUAGUUGGCCGGGGCUUCUUCUGCAGGUACCGUCAAUUUCGUCCCUGCUGAAAGCGGUUUACAACCCGAGGGCCUUCAUCCCGCACGCGGCGUCGCUGCGUCAGACUUUCGUCCAUUGCGCAAGAUUCCUAACUGCUGCCUCCCGUAGGAGUCUGGGCCGUGUCUCAGUCCCAGUGUGGCUGGACAUCCUCUCAGACCAGCUACCCGUCGUUGCCUUGGUGAGCCGUUACCUCACCAACAAGCUGAUAGGCCGCGAGGCCAUCCCGAAGCGGAAUCCAUUUCUUCACCAGACCAUGCGAUCCGGUGAAGGUAUCCGGUAUUAGCUACCGGUUUCCCGGUGUUCGUCCCGGUCUUCGGGGCAGGUUCCUCACGUGUUACUCACCCGUUCGCCACUCGUCCACCCGGGCAACGGCCCGGCUUCUCGUUCGACUUGCUAUGUUUUAGGCGUCGCCGCACGCGUUCGUCCUGUACGCAGACUC
RNAcentral lists this ribosomal RNA (482 nucleotides) under uncultured Actinomycetes bacterium. RNAcentral describes it as "uncultured actinobacterium partial 16S ribosomal RNA". Lineage: Bacteria; Bacillati; Actinomycetota; Actinomycetes. The record is from RNAcentral.